GAUGAAGAACGUAGCGAAAUGCGAUAAGUAAUGUGAAUUGCAGAGUUCAGUGAAUCAUCGAAUCUUUGAACGCACAUUGCGCCCGCCAGCAUUCUGGCGGGCAUGCCUGUUCGAGCGUCAUUUCAACCCUCGACCUCCCCUUGGGGAGGUCGGCGUUGGGGACCGGCAGCACACCGCCGGCCCUGAAAUGGAGUGGCGGCCCGUCCGCGGCGACCUCUGCGCAGUAAUACAGCUCGCACCGGGACCCCGACGCGGCCACGCCGUAAAACACCCAACUUCUGAACGUUGACCUCGAAUCAGGUAGGACUACCCGCUGAACUUAAGCAUAUCAAUAAGCGGAGGA
RNAcentral lists this unclassified non-coding RNA (343 nucleotides) under soil metagenome. RNAcentral's name for it is "partial contains 5.8S ribosomal RNA, internal transcribed spacer 2, and large subunit ribosomal RNA". The stretch from base 1 to 120 matches the Rfam family "5.8S ribosomal RNA", at positions 35 to 154 of the family's 154-position model. The record is from RNAcentral.